RNAcentral lists this ribosomal RNA (732 nucleotides) under marine metagenome. RNAcentral describes it as "bacterial SSU rRNA". It matches the Rfam family "Archaeal small subunit ribosomal RNA", at positions 731 to 1467 of the family's 1478-position model. The record is from RNAcentral.
AGAUACCCGGGUAGUCCUAGGUGUAAACGCUGUGAACUUGGUGUCGGGGGUCCGCAAGGGGUCCCCGGUGCCGGAGUGAAGAUGUUAAGUUCACUGCCUGGGGAGUACGGUCGCAAGGCUGAAACUUAAAGGAAUUGGCGGGGGAGCACUGCAACGGGAGGAGCGUGCGGUUUAAUUGGAUUCAACGCCGGAAAACUCACCAGGGCCGACUGUUAUAUGAAGACCAGCGUAACGAGCUUGUCGGAUUUUCAGAGAGGUGGUGCAUGGCCGUCGUCAGUUCGUACUGUAAAGCGUUCUGUUAAGUCAGAUAACGAACGAGACCCUCAUCUCUAUUUGCAACCUGUCUCUCCGGAGGCGGCGCACUAUAGAGAGACCGCUGGUGUGAAACCAGAGGAAGGCGAGGGCAACGACAGGUCAGUAUGCCCCGAAUGUCCUGGGCUACACGCGCGCUACAAAGGACGGGACAAUGGGAAGCUAGGCCGAGAGGCCACGCUAACCCGAAACCCGUUCAUAGUUCGGAUUGAGGGCUGUAACUCGCCCUCAUGAAGCUGGAUUCCGUAGUAAUCGUGUUUCAAUAUAGCACGGUGAAUAUGCCCCUGCUCCUUGCACACACCGCCCGUCAAACCAUCUUAGUUGGGGGUGGGUGAGGCUGCGCUUUAUGGCGUAUUCGAGCCUGCCUUCGACAAGGAGGGUUAAGUCGUAACAAGGUAUCUGUAGGGGAACCUGCAGAUG